AACAGAGGAUGCAAGCGCUAUCCGGAAUGAUUGGGCGUAAAGCGUCUGUAGGUGGCUUUUCAAGUCCGCCGUUAAAUCCCAGUGCUCAACCCUGGACAGGCAGUGGAAACUACCAUGCUAGAGUACGGUAGGGGCAGAGGGAAUUUCCGGUGGAGCGGUGAAAUGUAUUGGGAUUGGAAAGAACACCAACGGCGAAAGCACUCUGCUGGGCCAACAUUGACACUGAGAGAUGAAAGCUAGGGGAGCAAAUGGG
This 253-nucleotide ribosomal RNA is filed under the name uncultured bacterium. Its description in RNAcentral is "partial 16S ribosomal RNA". It matches the Rfam family "Bacterial small subunit ribosomal RNA", at positions 524 to 776 of the family's 1533-position model. The record is from RNAcentral.